GCCUUCUUAGCUCAGCUGGUAGAGCAACUGACUUGUAAUCAGUAGGUCAUUGGUUCGAUUCUGAUAGAAGGCU
RNAcentral lists this transfer RNA (73 nucleotides) under Pedobacter frigoris. It matches the Rfam family "tRNA". From Rfam's summary of the family: Transfer RNA (tRNA) molecules are approximately 80 nucleotides in length. Their secondary structure includes four short double-helical elements and three loops (D, anti-codon, and T loops). The record is from Rfam by way of RNAcentral. Lineage: Bacteria; Pseudomonadati; Bacteroidota; Sphingobacteriia; Sphingobacteriales; Sphingobacteriaceae.